GUGCCCUAGAAAGAAAGACAACUCCUUAAGAAAAUAAAAAAAAUAUUCCCAGCAGAAACAUCCUUGGACCUCCUAUGGCUUCCCAAUGCAGUCUGUCAUAUCCCUUUAAAAGUGCCUAAUGCAAGAACAAGCUAAUUCUUACAUGUUCACCCUCUGACACAUACUACAGAAUAGUUCAUUAAAACAAUUACUUCAGCAGCAAGGUCUUAAGAUUGAUUCCAAACAGUCUGAGGACGAUAAUAUACAGCCAAAAAUUAGAAUGUUUAAUUCUGGAAAAAUAAACACCCCAGACUGAGUGUGGAACCCAAUUCUAAAGUUGCGAUCAGUGGAGCAUGACCUCAAAGACAUCUUCCUCGCUGUCUCCCAAGGAGCUAUCUGUAAAGUCUCAUCUGCUUGGGAAGGUAUAAGACCAAGGAUAACCCCACAUCUACGUUUAAAGAGACCAACAUGAUCCAAGUGAUUGCUGACCUCUUCAUAGCAGGUUCAGACACCACCACAAUCUCUUUAUUGUGGUCUAUCCUCUACAUGAUGGCACACCCAGAAAUACAAGGGUGAAUUUGAACGCCCGCAGCAGGUUGGAGAAGAAGAUGAAGAGCUCAAUCCUUGCCAUCUGCUCUCCCAGACAUACCCG
Long non-coding RNA from Alligator mississippiensis (American alligator), 631 nucleotides. RefSeq lists it as uncharacterized. NCBI's taxonomy places the organism in Eukaryota, Metazoa, Chordata, Crocodylia, Alligatoridae. The transcript is spliced from 3 exons. The record is from RefSeq and is a predicted model, not a curated record.